This is a long non-coding RNA of Notothenia coriiceps (black rockcod), 357 nucleotides long. RefSeq lists it as uncharacterized. The transcript has 4 exons. Lineage: Eukaryota; Metazoa; Chordata; Actinopteri; Perciformes; Nototheniidae. The record is from RefSeq and is a predicted model, not a curated record.
ACUCAAUCUCUAUAUUUUCUUUCCGAAACAGAGAACUCAAAACCCUCACAGAUCAAGAUCGUAUACACAUUCAAGAGACCAUCAGGAGAUAGAGAUGGAGCAACAAUAAUGCAGCAAAGAACACAUCGCUGCAGCUGCAGAAGGAGCACUCGUGAAGCUGCACAUUUCGUCCGUCUGAACACUUUUUAAUAUCAGUAUUUUGUGUGUAAUGUAUCAUGCUCAGUUAUUUAAUCAGAAGCUUGGCUUUGACUUAGAGCAAAGAUGGGCCUUAUUUGGAAUAAUAUGUUAUGUAUAUUGUGUUUAUGCAUUAAGUAUUUGCAGAUAUCUUUUCACUAAAAAAGUUUUAUUUUUACACUA